This 200-nucleotide unclassified non-coding RNA is filed under the name Tomentella sp. RNAcentral's name for it is "partial internal transcribed spacer 2". The record is from RNAcentral. Lineage: Eukaryota; Fungi; Basidiomycota; Agaricomycetes; Thelephorales; Thelephoraceae.
ACCUGGUGGGAAAACCACAAGCGUAGAUAGUUAUCACACCUGUGAUGCCCACCAAACACUGGCAAGCUGAUUCAUUUAGAGGAGCCGACCGUAGGCCAGCAAAACCCCCAAAGUCCAAGCUCAUCACGGAAAACCAUGAAGAGUUGAGGUGUUCAUGAUACUCAAACAGGCAUGCCCUUCGGAAUGGCCAAAGGGCGCAA